Molecule: non-coding RNA, 2689 nt
Organism: Myodes glareolus (Bank vole)
Lineage: Eukaryota; Metazoa; Chordata; Mammalia; Rodentia; Cricetidae
Source: RefSeq, a predicted model, not a curated record
CAGCCCACCAAGGAGGCAGCAUGUAACUUGCCCAGCUGAGAAAGUGCCACUCCACUAGACAACCCCGAUCAAGAGAGAAUGCUGGAAGCCAUCAAGGCUGAAACGAAGGACAGAUGCUCCUUGGGGCUUCCCACGAGACUGUGUCCCCUGAUACUGUGAUUUUUGUUCUGUGGAUCCUGAUUUUAGACUUCUGGCCUCCAGAACUCCUUGGCGUCGGAGUCACACUCCACCCAUCUUGUUGUUGAAGAACUGACGUGAUGCUCCCUGGUAGAAGUCAGUGAGAUCGGAGCUCCAGGCUCAGCAUUCUGGUACAGCACUGGGAAUUCUACACAUGGUGACAUUGCCUUACAUGAAGCAAGUGCUUCAGUUCCAGACUGUGGGGGUUACAUCUGAGGGCCAUGUCACUGCAGAAUGCCCCCACCCCAGGCCCAGUGAGACAGGCACCUGGGGACACUCCCUGAAGGUAGGACAUUGAGAGAAGUACAAGGAGAAAGAGGCCCCAGGGCAAUGCUGUUCCAUUUCCCUUCCUCCGGGAACCAAAGCUGCUGACAUUACUCUGAGAUCGUCCAUCUAAAGCCCUUGAGAGACUUCACAACCACUUACAGAUGGGAAGGUCUGACUUCCCCUCAACAGCAGGAAUCAAGAUAUAACCAGAGCAAACUGCUACAUGGCUUAAAAAAAAAUCCCUCUCACUUUGCUAAUUCAGAAAUGAUUAUUUAAAAUAACUUUCUGCUUUAAUCCAACAUGAGCAUUUCAGCCAUAAAAGGAAGACAUUUUGGGAACUAAGAAAAUUCAGCACCUUCAUCUCAAAUGUUCUCAAAGCUUAUCUGGGAUUUUAUAGGAAAUAGUAAGGACAUAGGACACUUGAGUCACUGUAUGAGAACUUGCAUGGAAGGUAUGGUAUAAACACCCGCUGAGCACAAAGUACUUCACACAUGAAAACUUACUUGCCUGUAAGAAACUAAAUAAUGGCAACCUCCAUAUGGCUUCCAUUUUGACUAAGUAGGUACUGCUUUUCAUAGGGUAGUGUCUGUGCUAAGUAAAAACUACAUAGAUUAAAAACUCCACCAAUGAUUCCACAUACAUUGAUGCCAAUAAUUAAAAAGUCAGAAGUUGUUCUGAGAGGUCAGCCUAACAUCUGCGAUGCUAAGAGGGCAGAUACUGGUGACAUGUGGCACUUUAUCUGUAGACGAUGCAGCUGACCCUCUGUGGCUUUGAACUACUUUCCAUCAGAAAUGAUGAGAUUCCAGAUUCCUGAAGUUCCUGGGUACAUCUCAGCGACUAAGGGCAGAGUAAUUCUGAGUCCUGGAGAAAAGCUGCAGAGUUGGUAUGUAACCUGGGCAGAGCCUUUACCAACCACAAAGGGCACUCUGCCCUUGCCUUACACAUUCCAUUUCAACUAGAUGCCGAUAUUCCACCUUGGCAGAAGGCUACUGGGACCCACAGUUGUGAGCUAAUUUGCUUAAGGCUGCAUGAUAAGAUGAGCUAGGAUUGGACCCUACCUGGCCGAGUUCUCCAGGUUUCUGCUGGCUGGGAGUUAACAACACACACUAGGGCAACUGUUCCUCUCAGCUUUCAAGGAAGGGCUUGGCUGCUUCUACUCCCGGGUUCUCAACUACACCAUGCUUAAGUGAAAUCAUAAAACUCUCCAAAACAAAUGAAAUCCAUUUUAGUUUAGAAAGCAAGACCAUAAAGAUGCCCCACGGACUCUUUCCCUAGGAGAGGGGAUAGAGACCAAUAGGCCCCGCCCAUGUCUGCCCUCCCACCCUCCAGAGAGGCUGGGGGUGCUGUAGAACUAAGUUUAGCUUUGCUUUCCUUUGCUGGAACUCUCGUGUUCAAAGGUGAAGGUGGAGAGAGACCCACAGGAUGUUCAUCACAGAGGGGCAGCAGGUCCUUAGGACAGAAAGGAAUUAAAAGUACAGAAUGGGUGUUGUGGAAAGGACCUUCUUCCUAUUUUACCAAAAUGGCAGAGUUCAAAUGUUAGAGGGAAAGACGGAAGCCAGGAAUGUCGGUGUUCUAGGACUAGCUGUGUCACAAACGUCACACUGACUGGUGUCACUCUGUCACUCUCUGUUCCCACUGCGCCCUAUGUCACAUUUGGGAUGAACUGGUCCUUAAGAACGCAUCUUGCAGAUAAAAUGGGACUCGGGAAUGUUUUUUUUUAUUUUUAAAUUCAAGUGCAAACAAUCUCACACCUCUCAGUGGGUCAAAGAACAGCAAAAAAAAGGAGGGGUGUUGUUAAAAAUAUCAUCAUUUUAAAAUCUGUUCAGUUAAGAAAUAAUUGAAAGCAGAAGUCAUAAAUGGUUGUGUGAACUGAAGCCGUUAUUCUCUGCAUACCUGCUAGAUAACAGCAACAGCUGGGUGGCCACUAUCUUCCUAAACCAGCUUCAAACAUAAAAACAUCUGCACUAUGAGACACCAACGUUUCUCCCUCUAGGUCUAGCCCUUGUGAGUCCUCCUUCAGGCCAAACUUCCCCGCCAGCUCCCGCCCCUGCCCAAGCCCUGGUGCUGGCCGCCCCUUACACCCAAAAUCUCAAGCUGCACGAUGCACUCCUUUACUAUGAUGGCUUUGUCCUUUAUCCACUCUGCCCAAGGCACAGUAAGUGGGCUCCCUGUCUCUUGUUGUCCUGCAGCUGAGACCAAUCUACUGUUUUUGUAUCCAUGGUUUCCAAGGUGGUACACAGAGGUG